GCUGCUGGGGCUCAUGGAGUUUCGGUGGCGCAGCUAACGCGUUAAGUAAUCCGCCUGGGGAGUACGGUCGCAAGAUUAAAACUCAAAGGAAUUGACGGGGGCCUGCACAAGCGGUGGAGCAUGUGGUUNAAUUCGAAGCAACGCGCAGAACCUUACCAACGUUUGACAUCCUCAUCGCGAUUUCCAGAGAUGGAUUUCUUCAGUUCGGCUGGAUGAGUGACAGGUGCUGCAUGGCUGUCGUCAGCUCGUGUCGUGAGAUGUUGGGUUAAGUCCCGCAACGAGCGCAACCCUCGCCUUUAGUUGCCAUCAUUUAGUUGGGUACUCUAAAGGAACCGCCGGUGAUAAGCCGGAGGAAGGUGGGGAUGACGUCAAGUCCUCAUGGCCCUUACGCGUUGGGCUACACACGUGCUACAAUGGCGACUACAGUGGGCAGCGACCAUGCGAGUGGAAGCUAAUCUCCAAAAGUCGUCUCAGUUCGGAUUGUUCUCUGCAACUCGAGAGCAUGAAGGCGGAAUCGCUAGUAAUCGCGGAUCAGCAUGCCGCGGCGAAUACGUUCCCAGGCCUUGUACACACCGCCCGUCACACCAUGGGAGUUGGUUUCACCCGAAGGCAGUGCGCUAACCGCAAGGAGGCAGCUGACCACGGUGGGAUCAGCGACUGGGGUGAAGUCGUAACAAGGUAGCCGUAGGGGAACCUGCGGCUGGAUCACCUCCUGAAGCUUGGAUCCCGGG
This 731-nucleotide ribosomal RNA is filed under the name uncultured Sphingobium sp. RNAcentral describes it as "bacterial SSU rRNA". It matches the Rfam family "Bacterial small subunit ribosomal RNA", at positions 819 to 1533 of the family's 1533-position model. The record is from RNAcentral. Lineage: Bacteria; Pseudomonadati; Pseudomonadota; Alphaproteobacteria; Sphingomonadales; Sphingobiaceae.